This 716-nucleotide long non-coding RNA is filed under the name Sorghum bicolor (sorghum). RNAcentral describes it as "long non-coding RNA (SBIC_LNC017447)". The record is from RNAcentral. Lineage: Eukaryota; Viridiplantae; Streptophyta; Magnoliopsida; Poales; Poaceae.
GGCUUAUGUGGAGCUCAUAGGUGGGAAAGAUGAUUCAAACCUACUUACAUGUAUUUCAUAGUUAAACCAUGGAUCUAGAGAAACUAAUUUUAUAAUCAAGUCAUAUGUGCAUGUGAGUGAAGUGAAUGAUAAGAAUGAAAGGGGCAAUGAGGGGUGAUAACUGAUGGUGAAUAUCUAGUUCUACAUUUGCUCCUUGGGGAUAACAUACCUCCCUAAUCUGAGAAUAAGGAUUUGGCUGUCUUUCUUUUAUUUUGCAUUGGGACUUUUGUCCUCUUUAUUUCUUUUCUUAUUUUUUUAUGAGAUCAGCCAUCCCUUUUAAUGCACUAAUAACAAUAGGGAGUAUCAACUGAAGUAAUUGGAGCUUUAUUGGAUAAGUAGAAUAAGACAUAAUGGCAAUGGAUAUUUUUGGGUAUUCCCUCCUAGUGUAGGAGUAGAACAUUUUCUAAGUGGAUGAAGGAAUGCGUACUCCAAUGGUAGGAGCAGCAUCGGUGCGUGUUUCUAGGAUAGAAACAACACAGAGUGUAGUGCAUAUAUGUGGGUGAUACUUCUAGGAACAGAAGUAGCACAUAGUGAAUGUGGUGGAUGUAAGUGGGUGCAUACUUCUUAGGACAGAAGUAGCUAAGAUCAAUGGAUGGAGAGCACAUAAUAUUGACUUUAACUCCAUGACUAUUUCCUUAGGGUCUACACAGCUUAACUACCCUCAAUGCUUAUAGGCU